Molecule: ribosomal RNA, 333 nt
Filed under: Phelsuma antanosy
Lineage: Eukaryota; Metazoa; Chordata; Lepidosauria; Squamata; Gekkonidae
Description: partial 16S ribosomal RNA
Rfam family: Bacterial large subunit ribosomal RNA
Source: RNAcentral
UGUAUGAACGGUUAAAUGAGAGCAAAACUGUCUCCUGUAGCCAAUCAAUGAAAUUGAUCUCACAGUACAAACGCUGUGAUACAACUAUAAGACGAGAAGACCCUGUGGAGCUUUAAAUCAAUCACAUUAACUAACCAAACUUACUAUUAGUAUAAUGUAUAUUUUAAGUUGGGGCGACUACGGAGUAAAAAAAAACCUCCGUGAAACACGAUUAAACCUCGUAACUAAGGCUUACAAGCCUAACCAAACCACGACCCAGUCAAACUGAUCAUCGAACCAAGUUACCCCAGGGAUAACAGCGCCAUCCCCUUAAAGAGUUCACAUCGCCAAGGG